AGCUCCAAUAGCGUAUAUUAAAAUUGUUGCAGUUAAAAAGCUCGUAGUUGGAUUUCUGGCUUGGUGCGCGCCGUCCGCUUCCGUUAGGGAGUGUGUGCGGUUGUGCGCCUGCCAUCUUUUUAGACAUUAUGCUGUGCCCUUCACUGGGUGGCAGGUAGUGGCUGAAUCUUUUACUUUGAAAAAAUUAGAGUGUUCAAAGCAGGCUUGCGCUAUGAAUACAUUAGCAUGGAAUAAUAAUUUAGGACUCCCGUUCUAUUUUGUUGGUUUCUAGGAUGGAAGUAAUGAUUGAUAGGGAUAGUUGGGGGUGCUAGUAUUCAGAGGCCAGAGGUGAAAUUCUUGGAUUCUCUGAAGACUAACUUAUGCGAAAGCAUUCACCAAGGAUGUCUUCU
Molecule: ribosomal RNA, 389 nt
Filed under: uncultured eukaryote
Lineage: Eukaryota
Description: SSU rRNA
Rfam family: Eukaryotic small subunit ribosomal RNA
Source: RNAcentral